Molecule: long non-coding RNA, 1410 nt
Filed under: Homo sapiens (human)
Lineage: Eukaryota; Metazoa; Chordata; Mammalia; Primates; Hominidae
Description: long non-coding RNA NONHSAT005717
Source: RNAcentral
UUUGAUGAUCUUAUGGCGGAGAAGGAAGCUGUAUCUUCAAAAUGUGUCAAUUUGGCUAAAGAGAAUCAAGUUUUUCAACAGGAGUUAUUAUCUAUGAAAAAAGUACAACAGGAAUGUGAAAAACUUGAGGAAGAUAAAAAGAUGUUGGAAGAAGAAAUAUUAAAUCUUAAGACACAUAUGGAAAACAGUAUGGUAGAACUUAGUAAACUACAAGAAUAUAAAUCAGAGCUAGAUGAAAGGGCAAUGCAGGCAGUAGAAAAAUUAGAAGAAAUCCAUUUACAGGAACAAGCACAAUAUAAAAAACAAUUAGAGCAGUUAAACAAGGAUAUCAUACAGCUUCACUAAAUAAGAAGGAACUCACACUUAAAGAUGUGGAUUGUAAAUUCUACAAAAUGAAAACUGCUUAUGAAGAGGUUACAACUGAGUUAGAAGAAUAUAAGGAAGCCUUUGCAGCAGCAUUGAAAGCUAACAGUUCCAUGUCAAAAAAAUUAACUAAAUCGAAUAAGAAAAUAGCAAUGAUCAGUAUCAGCUCUUUAUGGAGAAAGAGCAGGUGAAAUAUUUUCUCAGCACUCUUCCUACAAGGUGAGGUCGAGAGUCACCUUGUGUUGAAAAUCUUACUAGUAUAGGACUCAACAGAAAAUAUAUUCCCCAAAUGCCCGUAAGAAUUCCUACUUCAAACCUCAGACUUCAAAUAACUGCCAGAACUACUUGACUGAGCUGUUGCUGUAUUGGACACUUGCUCCCAUCUACUUUCUUCUCUAGAAUCCACGGGUAAGCCACAUCUAAUGAAGAGAAUAUUUAACCAUAAAGUCUUAAGGAAAAAUUCUAUGAUGAUUUAAAAGAUUAUAAAACUUUAUUACUGGGCUAUUUACACAUUUUAAUUGUUUCUCAUAAAAUAUAUAACAUUCCAAUAUUUACUGAAGUAGGAUAUUUUUGUAUCAUAUGUAUGAUUAUAAUUUAUAGGAUAUUUUAAAUGAUGUUUUUUGGCCUCCUUAAGUUUUAAGUGGAUCUUGCAAAUGAAAACCAGUAUUAUUGAGUUUGACAUACUCAAAUUGCCCAAAUUUCAGCUGUUUAAACAACCAAGUCAUCAUUGAUACUUUAGUAAAGGUUAGUAAAUGUCAUCGAAGGCUUAUUUGCAUUUUACAGUUUUUAUUACUUAGGAGAGUUAAGGAGUACCUGCCAGGUUUGUCCAUGCUAAUGUUACAAUUUUCUUUUUGUAGUUCAACCGUAUUUUGUAUGGAGAUACUUUGAGGCUCUGUAAAUAUCUGGUUACUCCUCAGAACCCACUAGAUUUAGCAUUUCAUGGAUGACUUGUGUUUGAACAAUUAUUACUAUGAUGGUUACCAGAUGAUUAUUUUCUUAUUCUCUUCUUUGUUCUACAUGGAGAAAUAAAACCAAUAAAUAAGGGAG